UAAUACGUAGGGUGCGAGCGUUAAUCGGAAUUACUGGGCGUAAAGGGUGCGCAGGCGGUUCUGUAAGUCAGAUGUGAAAUCCCCGGGCUUAACCUGGGAACUGCGUUUGAAACUACAGAGCUAGAGUGUGGCAGAGGGGGGUGGAAUUCCAUGUGUAGCAGUGAAAUGCGUAGAGAUAUGGAAGAACAUCGAUGGCGAAGGCAGCCCCCUGGGUUAACACUGACGCUCAUGCACGAAAGCGUGGGGAGCAAACAGGAUUAGAUACCCUGGUAGUCCACGCCCUAAACUAUGUCAACUAGUUGUCGGGUCUUAUUAGACUUGGUAACGUAGCUAACGCGUGAAGUUGACCGCCUGGGGAGUACGGUCGCAAGAUUAAAACUUAAAUGAAUUGACGG
RNAcentral lists this ribosomal RNA (395 nucleotides) under uncultured bacterium. RNAcentral's name for it is "bacterial SSU rRNA". It matches the Rfam family "Bacterial small subunit ribosomal RNA", at positions 521 to 916 of the family's 1533-position model. The record is from RNAcentral.